AUCCAGCUGAUGAGUCCCAAGUAAGACGAAACGUGCCUCUUGGAU
Molecule: non-coding RNA, 45 nt
Filed under: Schistosoma mansoni
Lineage: Eukaryota; Metazoa; Platyhelminthes; Trematoda; Strigeidida; Schistosomatidae
Source: RNAcentral